AACACUUGAGUUAGUGGACUGCAGAAGGCAGACCCACCCUUAAUCUGGGUGGGCACAAUCUAAUCAGCUGCCAGCAUGGCCAGAAUAAAAGCAGGCAGAAGAACGUGAAAACACUUGACUGGCUUAGCCUCCCAGCCUACAUCUUUCUCCCGUGCUGGAUGCUUCCUGCCCUUGAACAUUGGACUCCAAGUUCUUCAGCUUUUGGGCUCAGACUCGCUUCCUUGCUCCUCAGCUUGCAGACAGCCUAUUAUGGGACCUUGUGAUCAGACUAACCAGAACCAGAUACAGAGACCAGAAGUAUCAGUAGGAAGAACAGAACAAGAAUCUGUUCAUUCAACAUUUUGUCCUGGCUUUUUCUGGAUGCUGAGGAUUCAGUGAUAACAAAGAAAAAUCUAUGUCUCCACUGGAACUUAUAUUAUUGUGGAAUACAAGAAAUAAAAAUUUUAUGUUUUCAAGUAAUUUGUUCAUUCAUCAAACAUUAAGAAAAUAAAUGAAUAUAUCCUUUGUGUCAAA
This is a long non-coding RNA of Homo sapiens (human), 513 nucleotides long. RefSeq lists it as uncharacterized. The record is from RefSeq and is a predicted model, not a curated record. The transcript is spliced from 2 exons. Lineage: Eukaryota; Metazoa; Chordata; Mammalia; Primates; Hominidae.